This 301-nucleotide ribosomal RNA is filed under the name uncultured bacterium. RNAcentral describes it as "partial 16S ribosomal RNA". It matches the Rfam family "Bacterial small subunit ribosomal RNA", at positions 509 to 807 of the family's 1533-position model. The record is from RNAcentral.
CAGCAGCCACGGGAAUACGUAGGUGGCAAGCGUUGUCCGGAAUUAUUGGGCGUAAAGCGCGCGCAGGUGGUUUAAUAAGUCUGAUGUGAAAGCCCACGGCUCAACCGUGGAGGGUCAUUGGAAACUGGGAAACUUGAGUGCAGAAGAGGAGAGUGGAAUUCCACGUGUAGCGGUGAAAUGCGUAGAGAUGUGGAGGAACACCAGUGGCGAAGGCGACUCUCUGGUCUGUAACUGACGCUGAGGAGCGAAAGCGUGGGGAGCGAACAGGAUUAGAUACCCGCGUAGUCCCUGUCUCUUAUAC